CCUACGGGAGGCAGCAGUGGGGAAUAUUGGGCAAUGGGCGCAAGCCUGACCCAGCCACGCCGCGUGAAGGAAGAAGGCCCUCGGGUUGGAAACCUCCUUUGUCAGGGAAGAGUAGAAGACGUUACCUGAUGAAUAAGCCACGGCUAACUACGUGCCAGCAGCCGCGGUCAUACGUAGGUGGCAAGCGUUGUCCGGAUUUACUGGGGUUAACGGGCGUGUAGCCGGGUUGACAAUUCAGAUGUGAAAUCCUGCGGCUUAACCGCAGAACUGCAGUUGAAACUGGUGAUCUUGAGUACUGGAGAGGCAGACGGAAUGCCUGGUGUAGCGGUGAAAUGCGUAGAUAUUAGGAAGAACACCGGUGGCGAAGGCAGUAUGCUGGAGAGCAACUGACGGUGAGGCACGAAAGCGUGGGGAGCGAACAGGAUUAGAUACCCGGGUAGUC
Molecule: ribosomal RNA, 442 nt
Filed under: uncultured bacterium
Lineage: Bacteria
Description: partial 16S ribosomal RNA
Rfam family: Bacterial small subunit ribosomal RNA
Source: RNAcentral